AAUGUGCUCUACUGCACACUACUUAGUGAUGCUCAGCCAUCGGUAUAUAUUCAGUAUGGUUUAAUCCUGAACAGGGUUUUGAUCAAGAUUCUAUCUGGAAUUGAAGAGCAUAUUUUGUUCUUUUCUAACUAAGAUUGAGAUGUACCUCUAAUAGUAAAGUGGAUUAAAUGAGACUUCUCUAGCACAGGACUUCUACAGCCUUUACUCUAUGGAGCCAGUCAGCUUUAAUAAAGGAGUUACAGCAACAGCUUCGAGUUCCUGAGAUGGCAGCAGUUACAAUGCUGAUAGUGAGCAGCUUUCCCAAGGCUAGUUACAGCUGAAAUAACGAAGAAAGUCUAGCAAGAGAGCAACAUCUUUUGGAACCUUCUAGAAUGAUAGCUACUACAGGUGUGACCAAAAAGCCAAUAGGUCUAGCAAUGAGACCUGAAAGCAGGGGCCCUAAGUAUAGGUAAGGUGUGAUUUCAUUCUAGUCUAACCAAUUGAAAGCAGCAUCUUCAGUUGGGUUUACUAACUGGAUCUCAAUUCACAGGUGGCAAUUUGUGACCGAGGAUUUGAGUGUCCAACUGCGUGGUUCUAAAAUCUAAGCAAGACUUUCAAAAGUGAGAAUUUCGUUAAGUGCAUUUGGACACAACAAAGUUGAUCGUGCACUUGGUGAUUGAGAGAGCUAGUCGGGACAAACCAGAAAGAUUAAUGCAUUUGUUUGAAGAACAUGAGACUACAGCAACUGGAAAACCUUCACAGCAUUUUACAAAUGUUCCUAAAUAUUAAAUCAAUACACCCUCUAUCACUUGAUUUAAGCAAUGUGGACAACCACACUCGCCUCACACCAGACAUUAAGUUGUUGCGUUUUUUUUUUGUUGCAGUUUCCUAUGUAAUUAAGCAUACUGAUUAUUUAUUUAUACAUUUGAUAUACACUCUAGUUUCACUUUUGUCAGUGUUGCUUGAAAUCAAUUUCCCCUCCCAUACUUCAUUUCAUUCUGGACAAACCUGUACUUGGUUUACUUUUUGAACACUCCUUUAAUUUGCAUAUUACCCUGUUUCCCUGUCAUCUUCCUAUUGUGUUGUCAUUUUGCCAUACCUGUUACUAUGGCAUUUUUUUCCUCUCCUUUUUCUGUUGAAUGUAUAUGUAUCAUUAAGUUUUUGUUACUAAGCAUUUAGCAUAGUACUGUAAUUCUUUUGGAUGUUCCUGAGGUACACUCCUCUAGGAAAUCUUUUUAUUUUUAUUUAAUAAAUUAAUCAAAGGUGAAGUGUGGCUUAUUUUAUUAGUGCUUUAGGACAUUAUGUGGAGAAAUGCAAACAUUCACGCCAUACAUUUCACCAUAUUUAAUUUUUGUGUUGGAUAUUGGCUUAAUGUAAGUUUGACUACAGGAUUUAUUAAUUUAGGAGAAAAACCACAGGGCGAAACCCUUGG
Pelobates fuscus (common spadefoot toad) is the source of this 1411-nucleotide long non-coding RNA. RefSeq lists it as uncharacterized. The record is from RefSeq and is a predicted model, not a curated record. The transcript is spliced from 3 exons. Lineage: Eukaryota; Metazoa; Chordata; Amphibia; Anura; Pelobatidae.